This 386-nucleotide ribosomal RNA is filed under the name uncultured bacterium. RNAcentral's name for it is "bacterial SSU rRNA". It matches the Rfam family "Bacterial small subunit ribosomal RNA", at positions 30 to 417 of the family's 1533-position model. The record is from RNAcentral.
AUUGAACGCUGGCGGCAUGCCUUACACAUGCAAGUCGAACGGUAGAGUAGCAAUACUUGAGAGUGGCGAACGGGUGAGUAAUAUAUCGGAACGUGCCCAGUCGUGGGGGAUAACGUAGAGAAAUUUACGCUAAUACCGCAUACGAUCUAAGGAUGAAAGCGGGGGAUUCGCAAGAACCUCGCGCGAUUGGAGCGGCUGAUAUCAGAUUAGGUUGUUGGUGAGGUAAAAGACUCACCAAGCCGACGAUCUGUAGCUGGUUUGAGAGAACGACCAGCCACACUGGGACUGAGACACGGCCCAGACUCCUACGGGAGGCAGCAGUGGGGAAUUUUUGGGACAAUGGGCGAAAGCCUGAUCCAGCAAUGCCGCGUGCAGGAAGAAGGCCU